RNAcentral lists this ribosomal RNA (155 nucleotides) under Schistocerca americana (American grasshopper). RNAcentral's name for it is "5.8S ribosomal RNA". It matches the Rfam family "5.8S ribosomal RNA". Rfam says of the family: 5.8S ribosomal RNA (5.8S rRNA) is a component of the large subunit of the eukaryotic ribosome. It is transcribed by RNA polymerase I as part of the 45S precursor that also contains 18S and 28S rRNA. The record is from RNAcentral. Lineage: Eukaryota; Metazoa; Arthropoda; Insecta; Orthoptera; Acrididae.
CACCCAGGACGGUGGAUCACUCGGCUCGUGGGUCGAUGAAGAACGCAGCAAAUUGCGCGUCGACAUGUGAACUGCAGGACACAUGAACAUCGACGUUUCGAACGCACAUUGCGGUCCAUGGAUUCCGUUAACGGGCCUCGUCUGGCUGAGGGUCG